Non-coding RNA from Saimiri boliviensis boliviensis (Bolivian squirrel monkey), 2759 nucleotides. NCBI's taxonomy places the organism in Eukaryota, Metazoa, Chordata, Mammalia, Primates, Cebidae. The record is from RefSeq and is a predicted model, not a curated record.
AUGCUACGGAAUGUGUACCAUUGUCUAGGGUUCCAAGACUCCGCCAUGGCUGCUGCUGCCGUCCGUGCGGCUGUGACGGCUGGUGGGAACAGCACUUUCCUUUCGUGGGAAGAAGGUGUGGUGGGCAGCACUGGUCCCCGUUGGAGAGAUGUUUAUGUCUUGCCUGUGAAGCACUGCCCUCCCUCUGACAGCUGCUUGCCAAGUGGCUCCAUCCAUCACUGGGAGCAGGCACCACACGGCUCACUGCCCCAAGAGAUUCAGAGAUGCUUUGAUGCUGAAAGGCCCAUCCAGUGUUCUGUGAUUGUGGUCAACAGACAAAAGACUAUGCUGAAUCCGUGGGGCGGAAGGUGCGAGACCUGGGCGUAGUGGACUUGAUCUUCCUCAACACACAGGUGUCGUUGUCACGAGCCUUGGAGGAUGUGAGCAGGGAGGUUCCCUUUUGCUCCUGUCAUCACCCAGCAACGCCAGAGUCACCGUUCCUGUGCAGCCAACAUCAUGUUUGGAACCCCGCAAGAGCAUCGCGACAUGCCCCAGGCAGACGCCACAGUGCUGGUGGCCAGAAGUUAUGAGGGUUAUAAGAAUGAGCGCUGGGAGAAGCAACGUGAGGAGAUUGCCAGACAGGCAGCCAGGAUGCAGCCAUCCUGCAGGAAAGAGAGAGAGGAGGUCCCGAGGAGGGUGUACGCAGGGCCCGCCUCCAGCCGUCCAGCGCCUCACCAGCCUGCUGGCCGGCAACAGGUGCCUCACUGCCGAAAAGACUGACAAGAUCAGCAACUACCUAUGAGAGCAGAGGGAGUAGCUGAUGAGGAGCAGCACCGACUCUCUGCCUGGCUCGAUUUCCUGCCAACCACCCGGGCGACCUCAGGUGCCUUGCUGAAGACACGGCCAAGCUCCCAACCGCUCCAGAACGGCCACGUGCUUCCCUCUGCUACACCCACUCCAUCUGCACCCCCCACCUCCCAGCAGUAGCUUCAGGCCCAAAUCCUCAGCUUCUUCAGUAGUGGUACAGUGGCGGCCAAGAGCAGCUCUACAACCCCCUCCGAUGCUGCCGGAAACGCCCCGAACCAGAAUUUUUCUACAACAGCAAACAGCCAGCCUCUGCAAAGAUCACAGGCCUUUGGCAAUCAGCCUCCAAGCAUUUUGGGGCAGGGAGCAUCUGCUCAGAACAUGGGCCCCAGACCUGUGGCUCCGUCCCAAGGGCUUUUUGGCCAACUUUCCAGUCGCCUGGCACCACGGCUAGCCAGUGGCCUGUGUCUUCCACAGGUACCAACUUUGGCAAUCCAAGUGCACAGAAGGCUCUGGAUACCCUGAUGCAGAGUGGCCCUGCUCUCUCCCACCUGGUGAGCCAGACCACAGCACAGAUGGGGCAGCCACAGGCCCCCACGGGAUCUUACCAGAGGCAUUACUGAGGCUAGAGGUUUCAACUAUCCCCAGUCCCCUCAGCCCCUGGCCUCGUGCCACUUACUGCGUUCGAAAUAGAGUUGUUUGGAGGUUAUUCUUUGCAUUCUCCAGGUCUGCACUGAGUGUCAUCAGUUUUUCCCACCUGCCCCCGCUCCUGCCCAAGGCUGUAUUGCUUAUUCCUCACCAAGGUUACGCUGCAUUUGGGGCUGUAUUUUGUUUUGUUUUGAUUUUUGGAUUUUUGCAGAAAAUAAAUAUAUCCGGGGGUCACUUGGGCAGCACAGGUGUCUGGGUUUCCGUCUGAUGGGGUUUCUCCUGGUCCCUCUGUCAACCGGAUUUGGAGCCAGGCCCAGCUGGCCACAUUUGGGAUGGCAUCUGUCAUGUCAGCAGCCACCACCUUUGUUCAUUGUGAACCUACCAAGGCUUUCCAGCUUCAAACCCGUCGACCAGAGCUCAAGCUCCUGCCUGCAACUCCUCCGUAGAGUUAAAGAAAAGUUGGCUGGCCUUGGCAGGCACAGGGUCAUUAUCCCCCAACCCCACAUGUUUGGGGUCUGCUUGAGGAUUCAUAAAUCAGCUACCCUGGAUUGUUGAGGAAUGGCCAUGGCGGCCACAGAAGAAAGAAUUUUUCUGUCUGUGCCAAGGUUGUUUUUUUGUUUUCUUCUCUUUUAUUUUUGGUUUUCAUUUCGUUGGAAGAUCUCCGAUGGACUGAACCGCUCCAGUCAGCAGCAGUUUAAUACAAACUGUGAAUCUGGGCCCCAGCACUCUCCCCCUUACCAGCUCUGUCUGCAUCCCCCUCUCCAGCAGCACUUCCGUGGAGUCGAUUCUGAGACUCUGGCCGUGAACACUCAUUUCUUCAGUGAUUUAUUUUGAGCUUUUGGCUCAAAACGCCAGGCGCUUGUUUUCGUCUAGACUCUUGUUAUGUUUCCUGAGCAGCAGGAGGUAGGGACCACUUUGAUGUCAGACUUCUGGUAGCUGGACGUGUUCUUGAGAUAGGUGGCUGUUCAUGAGUUUUGUACCAGAGUGAAAUUGUUGGAGGGGGGGCUUCUGGCUGUGGUUCUAAGUGGAGCCCCAGGAAGCGGCCCUCUCCCCAGGGAUUGUACUCAGUAGAUCUCUGUGGAUCACAGUCUCGAGAUCCUCUAGAAGGGGAGAGGGAGAGCAGUGACUUCAGCGGAGUCCCUGACAGUGGCAGAGAAAACAAUGGCUUCAAAAUUCAAGGCCCCCAUAUGGCAGCAUUUUAUGUUCUGACCUGUUUGUGUUACAUAGCAUUUUUUUUUUUUUUUUUGUCUCUUUGGAACUCUUGUGUUGUUAAUGAAAUGAUUGGAGUUCAAGACCAGACUGACCGAUGGUGAAACCCCAUCUCUACU